AGAGUUUGAUCAUGGCUCAGAUUGAACGCUGGCGGCAGGCCUAACACAUGCAAGUCGAGCGGUAGCACAGAGAGCUUGCUCUCGGGUGACGAGCGGCGGACGGGUGAGUAAUGUCUGGGAAACUGCCUGAUGGAGGGGGAUAACUACUGGAAACGGUAGCUAAUACCGCAUAAUGUCGCAAGACCAAAGUGGGGGACCUUCGGGCCUCAUGCCAUCAGAUGUGCCCAGAUGGGAUUAGCUAGUAGGUGGGGUAACGGCUCACCUAGGCGACGAUCCCUAGCUGGUCUGAGAGGAUGACCAGCCACACUGGAACUGAGACACGGUCCAGACUCCUACGGGAGGCAGCAGUGGGGAAUAUUGCACAAUGGGCGCAAGCCUGAUGCAGCCAUGCCGCGUGUGUGAAGAAGGCCUUCGGGUUGUAAAGCACUUUCAGCGGGGAGGAAGGCGGUGAGGUUAAUAACCUCAUCGAUUGACGUUACCCGCAGAAGAAGCACCGGCUAACUCCGUGCCAGCAGCCGCGGUAAUACGGAGGGUGCAAGCGUUAAUCGGAAUUACUGGGCGUAAAGCGCACGCAGGCGGUCUGUCAAGUCGGAUGUGAAAUCCCCGGGCUCAACCUGGGAACUGCAUUCGAAACUGGCAGGCUAGAGUCUUGUAGAGGGGGGUAGAAUUCCAGGUGUAGCGGUGAAAUGCGUAGAGAUCUGGAGGAAUACCGGUGGCGAAGGCGGCCCCCUGGACAAAGACUGACGCUCAGGUGCGAAAGCGUGGGGAGCAAACAGGAUUAGAUACCCUGGUAGUCCACGCCGUAAACGAUGUCGAUUUGGAGGUUGUGCCCUUGAGGCGUGGCUUCCGGAGCUAACGCGUUAAAUCGACCGCCUGGGGAGUACGGCCGCAAGGUUAAAACUCAAAUGAAUUGACGGGGGCCCGCACAAGCGGUGGAGCAUGUGGUUUAAUUCGAUGCAACGCGAAGAACCUUACCUGGUCUUGACAUCCACAGAACUUNUUGGUGCCUUCGGGAACUGUGAGACAGGUGCUGCAUGGCUGUCGUCAGCUCGUGUUGUGAAAUGUUGGGUUAAGUCCCGCAACGAGCGCAACCCUUAUCCUUUGUUGCCAGCGGUUAGGCCGGGAACUCAAAGGAGACUGCCAGUGAUAAACUGGAGGAAGGUGGGGAUGACGUCAAGUCAUCAUGGCCCUUACGACCAGGGCUACACACGUGCUACAAUGGCAUAUACAAAGAGAAGCGACCUCGCGAGAGCAAGCGGACCUCAUAAAGUAUGUCGUAGUCCGGAUUGGAGUCUGCAACUCGACUCCAUGAAGUCGGAAUCGCUAGUAAUCGUAGAUCAGAAUGCUACGGUGAAUACGUUCCCGGGCCUUGUACACACCGCCCGUCACACCAUGGGAGUGGGUUGCAAAAGAAGUAGGUAGCUUAACCUUCGGGAGGGCGCUUACCACUUUGUGAUUCAUGACUGGGGUGAAGUCGUAACAAGGUAACCGUAGGGGAACCUGCGGUUG
RNAcentral lists this ribosomal RNA (1509 nucleotides) under Klebsiella pneumoniae. RNAcentral describes it as "bacterial SSU rRNA". It matches the Rfam family "Bacterial small subunit ribosomal RNA". The record is from RNAcentral. Lineage: Bacteria; Pseudomonadati; Pseudomonadota; Gammaproteobacteria; Enterobacterales; Enterobacteriaceae.